GAUGAACGCUAGCGGCAGGCUUAACACAUGCAAGUCGAGGGGUAUAUGUCUUCGGAUAUAGAGACCGGCGCACGGGUGCGUAACGCGUAUGCAAUCUACCUUUUACAGGGGAAUAGCCCCAGAGAAAGUUUGGAUUAAUGCCCCAUAGUAUAAUUGAAUGGCAUCAUUUAAUUAUUAAAGUCACAACGGUAAAGAUGAGCAUGCGUCCAUUAGUUAGUUGGUAAGGUAACGGCUUACCAAGACAAUGAUGGGUAGGGGUCCUGAGAGGGAGAUCCCCCACACUGGUACUGAGACACGGACCAGACUCCUACGGGAGGCAGCAGUGAGGAAUAUUGGAC
This 338-nucleotide ribosomal RNA is filed under the name uncultured bacterium. RNAcentral describes it as "bacterial SSU rRNA". It matches the Rfam family "Bacterial small subunit ribosomal RNA", at positions 28 to 369 of the family's 1533-position model. The record is from RNAcentral.